UGUUGGAGAGUUUGAUCCUGGCUCAGGACGAACGCUGGCGGCGUGCUUAACACAUGCAAGUCGAGCGGUAAGGCCUUUCGGGGUACACGAGCGGCGAACGGGUGAGUAACACGUGGGUAAUCUG
RNAcentral lists this ribosomal RNA (124 nucleotides) under Kibdelosporangium aridum. Its description in RNAcentral is "partial 16S ribosomal RNA". It matches the Rfam family "Bacterial small subunit ribosomal RNA", at positions 1 to 128 of the family's 1533-position model. Lineage: Bacteria; Bacillati; Actinomycetota; Actinomycetes; Pseudonocardiales; Pseudonocardiaceae. The record is from RNAcentral.